UAGGGAAUCUUCGGCAAUGGGGGCAACCCUGACCGAGCAACGCCGCGUGAGUGAAGAAGGUCUUCGGAUCGUAAAACUCUGUUGUUAGAGAAGAACACGAGUGAGAGUAACUGUUCUUGUAUUGACGGUAUCUAACCAGAAAGCCACGGCUAACUACGUGCCAG
RNAcentral lists this ribosomal RNA (164 nucleotides) under uncultured bacterium. RNAcentral's name for it is "partial 16S rRNA". It matches the Rfam family "Bacterial small subunit ribosomal RNA", at positions 355 to 511 of the family's 1533-position model. The record is from RNAcentral.